UACAGAGGUGGCAAGCGUUGUUCGGAAUUACUGGGCGUAAAGGGCGCGUAGGCGGUCUUGUAAGUCUUGUGUGAAAUCCCUCGGCUUAACUGAGGAACUGCACGGGAUACUGCGAGACUUGAGAUCGGGAGAGGGAAGCGGAAUUCCGGGUGUAGCGGUGAAAUGCGUAGAUAUCCGGAGGAACACCGGUGGCGAAGGCGGCUUCCUGGACCGAUACUGACGCUGAGGCGCGAAAGCUAGGGGAGCAAACGGG
This 253-nucleotide ribosomal RNA is filed under the name uncultured bacterium. Its description in RNAcentral is "partial 16S ribosomal RNA". It matches the Rfam family "Bacterial small subunit ribosomal RNA", at positions 524 to 776 of the family's 1533-position model. The record is from RNAcentral.